GUACGCUGGCGGCACGCCUAACACAUGCAAGUCGAACGAAGUAGCAAUACUUAGUGGCAGACGGGUGAGUAACAUGUGGGUAUCUUCCCUAUGGCCUGGAAUAACACGAGGAAACUUGUGCUAAUACCGGAUAAGUCUUUACGGAGAAAGCUUUAUGCACCAUUGGAUGAGCCCGCACUUGAUUAGUUUGUUGGUAGGGUAAUGGCCUACCAAGACUUUGAUCAAUAGCUGAUUUGAGAGGAUGAUCAGCCACAUUGGGACUGAGACACGGCCCAAACUCCUACGGGAGGCAGCAGUGGGGAAUCUUGCACAAUGGAGGAAACUCUGAUGCAGCGAUGCCGCGUGAGUGAAGAAGGCCUUUGGGUUGUAAAGCUCUUUCGUCGGGGAAGAAAAUGACUGUACCCGAAUAAGAAGGUCCGGCUAACU
Molecule: ribosomal RNA, 426 nt
Filed under: uncultured bacterium
Lineage: Bacteria
Description: bacterial SSU rRNA
Rfam family: Bacterial small subunit ribosomal RNA
Source: RNAcentral